AUUGAACGCUGGCGGCAGGCCUAACACAUGCAAGUCGAGCGGAGGAAGGGAGCUUGCUCCUGGAUUCAGCGGCGGACGGGUGAGUAAUGCCUAGGAAUCUGCCUGGUAGUGGGGGAUAACGUCCGGAAACGGGCGCUAAUACCGCAUACGUCCUGAGGGAGAAAGUGGGGGAUCUUCGGACCUCACGCUAUCAGAUGAGCCUAGGUCGGAUUAGCUAGUUGGUGGGGUAAGGGCCUACCAAGGCGACGAUCCGUAACUGGUCUGAGAGGAUGAUCAGUCACACUGGAACUGAGACACGGUCCAGACUCCUACGGGAGGCAGCAGUGGGGAAUAUUGGACAAUGGGCGAAAGCCUGAUCCAGCCAUGCCGCGUGUGUGAAGAAGGUCUUCGGAUUGUAAAGCACUUUAAGUUGGGAGGAAGGGCAGUAAGUUAAUACCUUGCUGUUUUGACGUUACCAACAGAAUAAGCACCGGCUAACUUCGUG
RNAcentral lists this ribosomal RNA (484 nucleotides) under uncultured bacterium. RNAcentral's name for it is "partial 16S ribosomal RNA". It matches the Rfam family "Bacterial small subunit ribosomal RNA", at positions 30 to 507 of the family's 1533-position model. The record is from RNAcentral.